UAAAACAUGAAUACAUAUAAUCAAUACCAAUUGUUAUAAAUACCAAUUGUUACUGAUUGUUAUGAAUACACAUAAUCAAUAAUACCAAUUGUUAUAAAAUCAAAACUUAACAUAAUUGAAGCACAUAAUCACAUAUUGCAUUUUAUCAAAUCACCAAACUAUCAAUCACAAACAUAUUCCCCCUAUCUAUGAGGAUAUAUCAAAAAUACAGCAUUUAUCAAAACAUGUAUCAAUAAACAUAAUUGAUAUCACUUUGCUGUUUUGAAAAAUAUUGUCAAGACAUGAAUCAAUCCAAACAUGAUUCUAGUAGAUGUUCAACGGCAGAUUUUCAACACAAGGAUUAACAAUUGUCAAACAUAGAUCAAUCACUUAAUAAAUGAUGCUUGUGAAAACAGAUUUUCCAGCAUGUCAAUCAAUAAGUAUAGUCAACAUGAAAUCUCACAUAUUGAUUUUUACAAAUAAAGCACAUCAACAUUCUUCAAGGUGAGAGUCAAGUUAACAACUCAUGUUAAUAACAACAGCUGCCACAAAACAAUAAUAACAACAAAUCUGUUAACAACAAUCAUUUGCACAGUUUGGUUCUAUUUAAAAUGAAUAGCUAACCGAAAUUCCUUUUGAU
This 619-nucleotide long non-coding RNA is filed under the name Nicotiana benthamiana. RNAcentral's name for it is "long non-coding RNA (NBEN_LNC030915)". Lineage: Eukaryota; Viridiplantae; Streptophyta; Magnoliopsida; Solanales; Solanaceae. The record is from RNAcentral.